UGUGUGUGUGUGUGUGUGUGGGUGUGUGUGUGUGUGUGUGUGUGUGUGUGUGUGUGUGUGUGUGUGUUUUAGAGGAAGGCGCAGUCAUGUGUGACGGCUCAGUAACCGCAGUUUGUACUCCAGAACACACACAGAAGACGGUGUUUGGUGCAGAGCUCUAUUCAGGGCUUUGUACACCUCGUCCCAACACAUGCAUGCACACACACACACACACACACACACACACACAUGCACACUUGUAUUGAGCAAUAAGUCGACAAAGAGCAGCGCUGCUCUCUGACCAAGGACACGGAGCUCGCUGAGGCUCCUCCCCCUGGCAGGCUGCUGGGUGCUGUGUGUUGACAGCCUGUGAUAAACAGCUGUAACGGGGCUGCAGUACCUGACUGACUCGUCCAGGUGUAAUUACAUCGGCUCCUUUUAAUGUGUCAAAAUCCAUCAACAUAGUGUUAGUACUUUGUGUGUGGCUCUGUGGUGUAGUGGUUUACACAUUCGCCUAACAAGUGAAAGGUUCCUGGUUUGAUUCCAGAAGCUCCAUGAAGACUUUAAUUGUUCUGUUAUAAAACGAUGAAGAAUGACAGACAAACUUUUAUUGUGUUUUUUAUUAUAAGGACAUAUUUUAAAACCUUUAACAUUAAUGUUAGGCUGGUGGAGGGGUGAUGGAGUAAUCAGCCAGGAGGGUUAUUCGCGUCCACCUCUUGUGUUUUACAGGUUUGUCUUUAGACUCUAAAAAGUUCCUGGUUUGGUUUAGAAAACGCGGUCUGGUUUCAUCAAGACCUCUCAGCAGUAGCCAUGCAUGCUUAACACUGACAGGUUUGGCGUGACGGACGUGUUUUGCUUUUUCCAUAUCCUCAUGUAUCACCCACCGCCAUCGAAGGACGUUCUUUGUGUGAAUGUGACACCUUAUCAAAGCAGCAUUAUUUUAGGGAAAUGGCCUUGAAAUUGAGCCUAAUCAUGUCAGCGCUGUUUUUCACGGGAUUUCCUCUUAUUUGCACGAUUGUUUAAUUUGUGCACAGAGAAUAAAUAUCUGUGAGACGAUGUAGGACCAGAAAGCCGUUUUCACUCACAAACUUUGGAGAGUUUCAGGAUAAGUAGGUCAGGAUGUUUUCUGUAGUUGGCUUUGUUUAUAUUGCAUGAAGCACGCAGGAGGAAGCCGUCUGCUUCAGACAUGUUAAAACCGCUGGAAGUGCUCCAGAGGGAGUUGUCUGGAUCGAGCUUCCAGGACGCUCUUUCACUACCGGUAAAUGCACCGGUAGAGCUAUUACUCGAACUGCUCCCACAGUCUGACAGUCUGAGUUUUUUAUGAGGGAGCUGGCAGGUUCAAAACAUUUUAAAGUGACUACGUCAGACAUUUUUCUCACACACCUCUGUCAGGUGAUGUCUAGAAGAGUUCAAGGAUGCUGUGCAUGUGUGGAAAUGUCUUUCCACCUCCGUCUAACGGCAAAACGUGAAACGCUGUCAUGUGUGAGGACACGAAUUUGGCAGUUUUCCAGUACAGGGAGGAGGAAUUUGACAUUUAAGGAGGAAGCUUUGAGGGAACUAGGAAUGCCAUCAUACCUGAAAUUGAGUAGAUGAUAUCAGAGCCAGUAGAUUUACACAAUCCCAAAACAAAAUUAUGUAAUGCACUUAAACAUAAACAUGUAGGUGUACCCCGUCACUUCCUGAAAAGCUGCAGGUUCAGUACCUACACCGCCUACAGCAGCUGAGGUCAUGAAAAAACCAACUACUGGGGCGUUUUUGGAGUUUUGGUAUCAAAAGGUAUCCUGAGUUUCGGUUCUGGCAACUUCCUGGCGGAAACCAAGAGAAGUGAACUUCUGUUUUCCAAAUCUUAACCAAGUCAUUCUGGCUGUUGGAAGGUCAGGGUGUGUGAAAGUAAAAUGAAAGAAAAUGUAGAAGUAUUCAGUCACGUGUGCAGCUCGAGCGGUGGUGUUCAUCCAAAAAAUGUGGACUUUCUACCCUUUAAACCUGGAAAAGUUUCCACCUGUGCUUGUGGACAUGAGUCAAUAAAUCUGAUGAAAAUUUGUGUUUGUGUAAACAGCAAAGGAGGGGAAAUCUGUACCCGAGAACACGGAUCGAUAGAUUAAAUAUUGGGAGUAUUUAACAAACAGCUGUAAUCUGUGUUAUAGAGGUGAAAAAUUUAAGCGUGUUUAGCUGAAGUUGUUUCCCUUCUGUUGUCUUUGGGGGAGGGAAAUUAGGCUUAAACCCUAAAGCAAGUCAGCUGAGGGGAAGCACUGAAGUUGUUGGAGACUCAUGAAGCUGUAGUAAAUUACAUGGGGUGUUUGUCUUGUUUGUGUAAGAUAAAGAAAACCUGAGAGGAAAUAAGUAUCCAGUCCACAAGAUAAAAUCCCUUAAAGGUGCUAACGCAAGUAUCAAGCUAAUAUCGGCGACAACAACAGUUGUCUGUAGUUCUGUAAGUGGCGGAAGGACUGCAAGCAGCAGUGUUAACAACACAAAAAGGAGCUAAAACUUGAGUUUUAAUCAAAACAGUUGAAUGUAACAGCACAACAGAAGGACACGUUGUGUCCUCACCCGUGUGCAGCUCUGUUUUUAGUUUGUGAUAAAACUGUGACACGGUUUCAUGUGUCCACAUGCUUACCAAUGACCUUGGUAAGCAUGACAAAUAUUUUAAGAUAUUAAAGAAAACCAGGGCAGAAGAAGCUCUCACAAACACACCCCACAUUAAUCUCAUGACCCCUUGAAGGGUCUGUGACCUCCCUGCUGGGAAGGGCUGCCUUUCAAAGGCAAAAAGAGGAAUGCAUUCCUCGCAAACCCCCUGAAGGGGUUUGUCCGCCCCUGGCGUCACUGAGCUGCGCUUUGGGAAUUCACGUCUUGCUAUUUUGUUGCUGCGAGUUUGAGUGCGAGUCGUCUAAUUGUCAGCUUCCAGCGCAGCGGUUUGAAGUGGGUUUGUCAGCUUGUUUUUCUUGCACAGACGCAGCACAAAGAGACAAAACGAGCUGCGCCAUUAUCUCUACCGAACGGUUGCUGAGUGUUUGAGGGUGACGUAGGCUGGUGUGAAACUUUGACCAUAUCUGUGGCUGUCCAGCUGCACUUCACCUCCUCAAACACGGAAAUGCGUUUGACUUGGGAUGGCGUGCCAGAAGCUGCAUGAAAUAUAUCUGCAGUGUUGUGACCCUCGCAGUGUUUAUGUACCCAAAAGAUGUUGAGUGACGUUAAGCUGACAUGCUAAACCGAGAGGUUUUUUUUGUCUUUCUGCAAGCAGCAUACCAGAGUUUCCUGUCUUUGGUACAGUCAGUUCCUUACACACCAAAAAAAAAAGUUCAUGACCCUGAGCUGUGGAAAAUUACAAGGUGUUUUUUUUUUUUUUUUUUGUUUCUUUUUUGGCCACCUUGUAGACAAAACGAUUGAAUAAAAAUGAUAAGUAAAAGUGUUGCAGACUCCUCUGCAGGAAGAGAGCUGCAGCAAAGAUGUUGCUGAAUUGGAGGAAAACGUCUUGUUUAUUUAAUUUUUGGGUGUGCUUUUGAGCAAAAUUGAGCUGAACCCCAGAGGUAAACAAACCAAAUCCCUGUGCAGUGUACGGUACACUCAGUAUUUCAGGCUGUGAACGUGACUCUGUUUCACUUCUUUGCACGAAGAUUCAGCAAAGAAACAAAGGGCUGUUCGUUCAGAGGGGGGUGAGGGGGGAGACUCUGAAAGUGUGUGUGGCUGUGUUUGUUUGCUGUCUGUUGAAUAAAAGCCAUCACGUGGAUGCGGAUGGUGUAAUAAAUUUGUACUCUUGUUCUAUUGCCCCGCAAUAAAGAGAUUUGUGGUAUUAUGUGCUGAUGCAACAGCAGCAAAAACAAAGAUGUUCUUUAAUCUGAGCUCAGAUAUUCACACGGGUUCCAGGUGGAUUAGGUCCUGAUACAAACAGUGUGGGUGUGCCCGAGUGUUCCCGAGUGUGAACAUUAUGUGCUACUGUCUGAAUAAAGGACAGACAGGUUUGUGUUCACUUUCAAACCAAAGCAGGGAGGAGGUUUUCAGAUCAGGCAGUGAAUGUAGAAGAUGUCCUUGCGCUCACAGACCCACUUUAUUUCAUUUCUUUUGACUCAGCGUUGUUGUUGUUGUUAUUGUUAUUAUUCAUUGAUCACCUUCAUUUGAUUUUGUUGCACUCCAUAUUCCUCCAGUGGAUGUUAAGCAGCAGUAUUAGGUGAGGUCUGAUCUGUUGUCUCGGCAGGUUUUGUUUGUUUUGUUUUGUUUUUGCUGCUGAAAACAGAAAAAAUAAACACAAAGACUAAAACAAUACUGGCAAAGUCGUAAUUUUAAACAGCAGCAUCGGCCCAGAAUUUCACAUUCGAAGUCUGCUUGUUUUAGAGGAUGUGGAGGCCCCUGUAAGGAAUAACCCACAAUGUGAAGAGUUGUGCAACAUUUCUGUCAGCGUGAUUAAACACGUAUUACCAUAGUGUGUGUGUGUGUGUGAUGAUGCUGACCGUGUGUGUGUGUGCGCGCGCGCUGUGUAAAGGCGUCUGUCAGCUGCAGAAGUUAUUUUUGAAGCCGUGCUCAGCUGGUGUCCUGUGUUGUGUUCUUUUUGUUCUGCGGUUUGAUCAUUCAUUGGCCUGAGUUGGCACACUGAAAGAGGUCACUUUGUUUUAGGUAGUUAUUAAAGCCUGUAGCUUUUAUUAUGGAGGACCCAAUGUGCCAAAAUAAAUAAAGAAACAACUUUAUUAGUUUUUAAUUUGUGUCAACAGUGCACGUGUAAUGGAAUGUUGACAUAUGUGUUUAAAUAAUUAGGCCUUGUAUUGAAUGCCAUUCUUUGUUCAUUCAUGAUUAAAAAGCACCACCAAAUAAAUACUUAAAGCGCGCAGUCCUGCUGUGUGUUCUCGUCAGCUAAAUUCUUUAUCAUUAUGUUUUUUUUCUUCUGCGACGUCCGUGUGAUCCCACACAGACGAAGACACCCUUCAGAUUCCUGCUCGCUGUUUGUUUUUUCCAAAAGUGUUUUACUGUUUUUCAAUAAUUUAAUAUUUGUUGUACAAGAAAACCACCUGUAAAUCUCUCCCUAUUAAAGUGAACUGCAGAGCCAGACAGGACUAAUACACCCACAACUUGAAAACUAGAAAAAUCCUGUUUUUCCUAAUGGAAGAUCAAUACACUGUGCAAUAUUU
Molecule: long non-coding RNA, 5093 nt
Organism: Haplochromis burtoni (Burton's mouthbrooder)
Lineage: Eukaryota; Metazoa; Chordata; Actinopteri; Cichliformes; Cichlidae
Exons: 2
Source: RefSeq, a predicted model, not a curated record